Molecule: long non-coding RNA, 909 nt
Organism: Perca fluviatilis (European perch)
Lineage: Eukaryota; Metazoa; Chordata; Actinopteri; Perciformes; Percidae
Exons: 3
Source: RefSeq, a predicted model, not a curated record
UCUUAUGAGGUGGGUGGGGGUGAAUAACCAGUGAUCAGUAAGGGUGGCCCUGAUCUAAACAUCUGAUCUUUUCUCUGCCCUUGUCCUCUUCUUCCUCCUCCUCCUCUUCCAACUCUUUCUCCAUGAACUUGUCCUGAGGUACAUCCCAUGUCCCUUAUUUGAUAGCUCCUCGACUCUGUCCUCGGCUGAACCGGAAGUUGUUCUGUCCCUCCUCAGUGAAGGCCGUCUCAAAGCUCUUAUUUCUGUCCUGAGGGCCGAGGAGCGAGCUUCGAGGAGGGAACACCUCGGAGACAUAGCCGGUAUCAGCCUUCCCUGAAGUUGUGCAGAUCUCUCCCGUGACUCCUCGGUGGGAGGGACUAAGACGCGAGGAAGGGAGGCAAGUGGAGGACUCGAGGAGGCAAUUUAAGCAACAUGAGAUGCAGCUCUGGUUGUCGUCCCCUGCCUCUCCCUCCUACUCCCCUUGCUCUCUGUCUAUUGUCGGCAUCCACUGUUCGAAGCAGGGACUAAGGAACAAACGGAGACGUUCAUACGUCUACGUGUAGGCAGCAAGCAGCUGUUUACCAGGGGGAGGGACACCACUGCGAACGGAUAUCGGCUUAUUUUGGAGAUGAUGGGGAUCGGAGGGAGGGUCUCCCACACCCAGGCCAAGAAGAAGUGGGACAACCUAAAAACGAAGUGGGAGAUAUUGAGAUAUUGCAGGAGUCCCUGCCUUAUUGCCUCGAUCCAAGGGGACAAACCAGGGCCAAGCGCCGCACAAGAGGUAGAGGAAGGGAUUGAUGAGGAGGAGGAGGAGGAGGAGGAGGAGGAGGACAAGGGAGAGAGUGGAUCCAUUCCUUCAACUCAUCAAGGACGACAUAAAAUAUCAGGGAGAGGCAGAUGAGAGGAGGGAAGCAGAGGCCGAGGUCAAAA